Molecule: ribosomal RNA, 420 nt
Filed under: Escherichia coli
Lineage: Bacteria; Pseudomonadati; Pseudomonadota; Gammaproteobacteria; Enterobacterales; Enterobacteriaceae
Description: bacterial SSU rRNA
Rfam family: Bacterial small subunit ribosomal RNA
Source: RNAcentral
ACUCCUACGGGAGGCAGCAGUGGGGAAUAUUGCACAAUGGGCGCAAGCCUGAUGCAGCCAUGCCGCGUAUAUGAAGAAGGCCUUCGGGUUGUAAAGUACUUUCAGCGGGGAGGAAGGGAGUAAAGUUAAUACCUUUGCUCAUUGACGUUACCCGCAGAAGAAGCACCGGCUAACUCCGUGCCAGCAGCCGCGGUAAUACGGAGGGUGCAAGCGUUAAUCGGAAUUACUGGGCGUAAAGCGCACGCAGGCGGUUUGUUAAGUCAGAUGUGAAAUCCCCGGGCUCAACCUGGGAACUGCAUCUGAUACUGGCAAGCUUGAGUCUCGUAGAGGGGGGUAGAAUUCCAGGUGUAGCGGUGAAAUGCGUAGAGAUCUGGAGGAAUACCGGUGGCGAAGGCGGCCCCCUGGACGAAGACUGACGCU